This 292-nucleotide ribosomal RNA is filed under the name uncultured bacterium. RNAcentral describes it as "partial 16S ribosomal RNA". It matches the Rfam family "Bacterial small subunit ribosomal RNA", at positions 505 to 796 of the family's 1533-position model. The record is from RNAcentral.
GUGUCAGCAGCCGCGGUAAGACAGAGGUGGCAAGCGUUGUUCGGAAUUACUGGGCUUAAAGGGCGCGUAGGUGGUGGCAUAAGUCCGAGGUGGAAGACUAAGGCUUAACCUUAGAAUUGCCUUGGAAACUGUAUCACUUGAGUCAGCGAGGGGAUGGCGGAAUUCCAGGUGUAGCGGUGAAAUGCGUAGAUAUCUGGAGGAAGGCCGGUGGCGAAGGCGGCCAUCUGGCGCUGAACUGACACUGAGGCGCGAAAGCGUGGGGAGCAAACAGGAUUAGAAACCCCAGUAGUCC